GGAAAAUUCGGAGAAAUCCAGAUUUUGCGGAAAAGAGCUGUCGUGACAAGUACAUCGUCCUUUAUUUGUGACAACACUCGGCACGUAACCCCAGAGCGAAAGGCUCCGUCUCUGGCCUUGGAUACACCGACUGCCUCCGUGGAGUGGGGGAUAAGUGUGGGCUGAUACAAAAGCUGCAAGUACCCGUUCACAGAGGAAGCAGAUUAACACCCUAAGCCGCUGAAUAAUUUCCAUUGUGUAUAUAUGCAACUGCGUGAGCGAAAUGCCCAUGUUUUGCUGCAUAUUAUGCUUCAUUAUUUUUGAAUACAAUAGAUCUCUUGGCAUUAGUACUAAAUGAAUGGUAAGUUCAUUUCAUCUGAAAGUCUAAACAAACAAGCACUAACAAUGAGAAUAAAUCAGAUUGCUGCAGUGCUUUCAAGUAGCUGGUAAAAAUAGUAUUUUAAUCAAAUAACUCAGUUGUAACUGCCAUGAACUACUGGGAAGGUUAAGGCUGUGGCUCAGUAUUCUAGUGAGAAAACACACAGAAUUAUUCAAAUCACGCAAUUUCAUCGCCACCGCUUGACUCAGAUUAAAAGCAGAAGAUGGUAGUCUGAGUUUCUAUCCCUACUACCAAGCUGAAGCCACCAACAAAACAAAGGUUAAUGGAAUAUUCUGAAAGACAAGCCAUUUAGCAAGAAAAUGCAAUGCUAUACAAAAAUAACUAUGGCCAGACUGGAGUGGUUUACUCCAAAAUAAAGAAAUGCUUUUGGUUUAUUUGGGUUUACUCCAAAAUGAGGAAUAAGCUCACAUUUAAGACUCUGGACCAGUGUUUGUGAGAUGUGAGUUCAGUUCUUGGCUGCAGCAUGGACUGCCUGGUGCGGCCGAGCUCGCACGGGAGAUGACUGCCUCUAUUUCUUGGGAAUACUGCGAGGCAAGAGUAACUGGAAAGUCUGAGCUGCUCAAAUACGGCGAUGCUGAAAACCAAAGGGAACGCUGCAGACAGCCUUACCCAGAGACUGCCAGAUUAUUUUUUUUGAGACCAAAAGAAAGCACCAUGGUCAUCUGAUUGAAACUCCAGCAGAGCAGAUCCCUUCCUACUUCCUCCGUCCGGCCCGGUGGCAGCAUCUGAACCAGAACACUGCUUCCAGAAAAACAUCUAAAAACCCAAGCGAUAAACCUGUUGCAAUCCUUGGUGACUUGUUCCCUCACCAUAAGAAACUUGUUUCUGGUCUGCAUUUGUACAGCUACAGCUUCAUACCCUGAUGGUCAUGUCUUUGCCUAUGGAUUAGAGUCUGUUCAAAUUUAUGUUCACCACGUAAGUACUUACGGGUUGUGAUCAAAGCACCACAUACGCUCCCUUUGAUACACGGCAUGGAUUGCACUCUCUGACUCUCUCUCUCUCUGAGAUGUUUUCCAAUCUUUUAAUCAUUCCCCUCUCUGAAUCCUCUCCAGUUCCUGAGCUGGCGCGAUUGGGAGGCAAUGGCUGGAGCGAAGAGGAAGAUAAAGUCCUACACUUCUGAAAAUGUUUCACUUCUAACUCUUUUUUGCUGCCCAAUACCUGCUAGAGGCUGAAAAUUCAGCACAGCUAUGCAGACUAGACUGGUCUGUUGGGGACAUUGGCUUUAGCAGCUAUUCAAGGAUCGGACACCCACUCCGCCUCUGCUUCCUGAGCUGCGGUUUGAGCGCCGGCACUAGCAGAUUGGGCUGUUAGCCAGCUCGUAGCUCCAUGCACGUUCAUGAGCUCCAAUUCCAGGCAGCUGCUUGGGACCAAGUUCUCUCUCCAGUUCAUCGGUGCAUGGCCACUAACCUGAAUGUUGCAGCUCCAAAACCAAGAGGCAAUUUUAAAGAACACAAAACCUGUCCAUCUGUGCCCGAGACGCACAGCCCUGCUCUGCGCCUUUGGAAACCAGAUCCGCGGCAGAGGUAGUGCACAGGCAUGUUGUCAGAGGCCUUUUAAGUCUGUUUAACAACCUGAACUCUUUGCUAGAAAACAUCUGAUACCAACUAGACUAAACCCAGGCUUAUCAAAAGGACACGGUAAUAAAAGCUAAUUUUGAUUGUGGACGUCAGCGUGGAGUUAGAGGGUGCUACUAACAGUGAUGAUAGCUAUGGCUUCAGAGGUAAAAAGGGACUAAACCAGCAACUGCCUUGGUAGCCAUUAAAAAAA
This is a long non-coding RNA of Aptenodytes forsteri (emperor penguin), 2146 nucleotides long. RefSeq lists it as uncharacterized. The record is from RefSeq and is a predicted model, not a curated record. The transcript has 2 exons. NCBI's taxonomy places the organism in Eukaryota, Metazoa, Chordata, Aves, Sphenisciformes, Spheniscidae.